Long non-coding RNA from Phyllostomus discolor (pale spear-nosed bat), 682 nucleotides. RefSeq lists it as uncharacterized. The transcript is spliced from 3 exons. The record is from RefSeq and is a predicted model, not a curated record. NCBI's taxonomy places the organism in Eukaryota, Metazoa, Chordata, Mammalia, Chiroptera, Phyllostomidae.
GCCCCGCCCACUCCUCUGUGAUUGGCCAGGUCGCCCAGGCCACGCCCCGAGUACGUAUACGUGGGGGCGGGCCCGAGGCUGACAUGGAGGGACUGGGCAGAGCUGUGGCCGCCAGGAGCGGGACGCGGGGCUGCUGUCCCGCGUCCGGCUCUGGAGACCGAGGGGCUGCGGUGCCUGCACGUCCCUGUGGGCUCCCCGCUGGCCACCUGCGGCCGGUACAUGGUCUUCAGCUGCGUCCUUUCGUACCUGAUCUCUCAGCAGCUUUCCGCACGCCCGCGAGCCUUGGGGCAGAGGCAGCUGGACCGAGCCGGCUACUGUGGAACCUGACGAUGCUGUGAAACGACAAGAGGCCUUAGCAGCUGCUGGCCUGAAAAUGCAGGAAGAGCUCAGCGCACAGGUGGGAAAGCACAAGGAAAAACCUCAAGACACGUAGGAAGUGCUUUGCAUGGGUGGCCCUAACGAUGUGAGGCCGAGUGGGUAAAGCUGAGUGCACACCCUCGGGUGGGUCCUGGGACCAGCUCGCCUGCAGCACCGUGUCCAGUAGAACUGGGUGGCUGCUCGGGCGGAGUGUCUGGUUGGGGCAGACGCUCGUGGUUCCCUCACAGCAGUGCUUCACGUAACAGAGGUCUGUGUGUGUGUGUGCACGUGCCACACCACCAGACACACAGUCCACGUUCUGUGU